UAAAUCGAAGUUCAUUCCCACAUUUGACCUAUCUUCAAUAUAUGCUUGAAUUAAUGCAACAAAAUAACCACUGAAUAAUAUACAUCAUGUUCACAGUCCAAGCGAUUCAUAAGUUGUUCAACUUGCUUAAAUCCUACUGCAAUUCACCGAGGAAACCAUUCACAUGUGAAGCUAUUUUAAAACAAAACCACGAUUAACCUAUAAUCUCAUAAAACUGAUUCAAUUCCAACAGUUCCAAACGGUUUGCAAAACAUGAGACAACAAUGAAACUGGACAUUUACACUAAACAAGCUAACCAAAUUAGCUGUGGCUCAUGCCAUUCUAAGUUCACAGUAUGAAGUCCAUUGCAAUUUAAAAAACAAUCCUUGUUCAAUUACAGCAUCCAAAACGGUCAGAACGAUCCUAAUUAGAUAAUUUCUACUUCAGUAGAGUUCGAAUAGACUACAGCUACACAAAUACACAUUAUUGGCUUGACGAUGGAUACGUGAGCAUAGAUAUGAAACAUCGAUCCAUUCCAUUCCGAUUCGUGAUUACAUGAGUUGUGAAUUCGAGUAUGUACCUGGAAAAUUGCAACACAAAGAGAGGAUGAAGAUCAGUAGGAGCAAACAGUAAGUGUAGUAGUAAUAAUCCAUAGAACCAGCCCGGAAUCUUUUAAGUCGAACAAAACUUAACAAAUCCGCUCCAAAAAGUAUCAAAUUCACCCAGAAAUUCACACACAUGAACAAAUAGCUAACAGAACACUCGAAACAGAAUCAGACAACCAAUCUCAACUUGAAAUGAUCCAAAGCAACUCGAAAUUGAACUUAAAACAACUCCUGGAACUUGACUGGUGAAAAGCUCUACCAAAACCCACUUAAUUUGACUUAAAUUCAAACGAAAUGAACACUUGGACUUCUACAAUUAAAGUUGGAAUUAAAGGUGGGAAUCAUCAUUAAAAACAUCAAAAUCAACUUAGAAUUUUCGAUGGAAUAGUAUUCUAUUUUUGGAUUUUCUUGGUUAUUUUCCUUUUUGUUUGGUUUUUGAAGGUUUUUAAGAUUUGAAUUUCAAACUAGAGAGAUCAGAUCUGCAAAAUGAUUUUUGGUGGGAAUUUUUGAGCUCAAAACUUUGAUUUUCCUUUUUCUAAUGCUAAGAGUGAAGGUUUGAGAGAGAAUUUCAGAAUUUCUUUAAUGGUUGAUCCGUUCUCCUCCCCUUUUCUAAUGCAGGAGCAUGCUCUUAUAUCCAGCUUAGUAAGGCUAUCCCCUCCCUAGAUAAAACAUCUAACUUUCCCCAAUUCCUCACAUGUAACCUCCCCUUAUCCUUUAGGAAAUUCUCAGUUUGUUAGGAAAGAUUCCCUACCUAGAUUACCCGAAUUACCCUCAACCAAAUAUCUCAACUAACCUCUAAUACACAGGUUAAUUACCCUCUCCAAAACCAAUCUGACCAAGGGUCAUUCUGGCCCAAACAAAUAAGGUUCGAGGCCUGCUAUUGAGCCAGGAUGAAGUGAUUCGAGGACCCAAAACUCAAACCUAGCUCAUAAACAAACAAAAAACCUCUCCAAUUCUGAUCCAAACAAAUUAAUACAUACACGAUGACCCAAGAAAAAUACACGUAAACUAAAUACUGAUAUGAAAUUAAUUUUAAAAAACCCUUUAGACAGAAUUAAACCACGAUUAACCUAAAACCAUUUCCUAUCCGAGUUAACAUUGAAACGAGGAGAAACAAACGAGAAUAAGAGGCAACAAGGCGAUGGGGGGAAACAGAGCAAAACAUGAAUUCGAAUAAUUAAGGCGACGAGGAAGACGACGAAGAAAAAACGAGACUAAUACCUUCAAAGUCGCCCAGACAAAGCUUCGAUGAACUAAGCGGCCUCGAUUUGAGUUAAAACAAAAAUUAACCAUUUGUUUUUUGAAGAAAACACACGGUCAAUAUCCGUUUCGAACUAUAUCGCUCAAAGAAGUCUGAAAACUUAAACUGUUAGUUCCCUUGAUUUAGACAUGCCACAGGUUUGAUUUGGUCAGGCUUUGGAGAAAAAAUGGUGAUGGAUUAGGGCUGAGGGGCGGGUGUUGGUCUUGUGGUUGUAUUUAGGGGCUGGCUCGUGGUGCAUGGUUUGCGUUAAACAAUGGAGGAAAAGGGGCUGGCUAGGGCUGAAUGAAGGAGAAGAAGAGAUACGAGGGGCAUUUGGUUUAGUCUUAGGUCAGGGAGUAAUUUUCGGACAUAACUAAGGAAUUGGGGAAGGGUUG
Molecule: long non-coding RNA, 2219 nt
Filed under: Nicotiana benthamiana
Lineage: Eukaryota; Viridiplantae; Streptophyta; Magnoliopsida; Solanales; Solanaceae
Description: long non-coding RNA (NBEN_LNC040104)
Source: RNAcentral